Molecule: ribosomal RNA, 227 nt
Filed under: uncultured bacterium
Lineage: Bacteria
Description: partial 16S ribosomal RNA
Rfam family: Bacterial small subunit ribosomal RNA
Source: RNAcentral
GCGGAACACCGUACAGAACUUUCCUUUAAGCGGGGGAUAGCCCGGAGAAAUCCGGAUUAAUACCCCAUAGUAUAUUAAAAAGGCAUCUUUUUGAUAUUAAAGAUUUAUCACUUAGAGAUGGCUGUGCGGCUGAUUAGGUAGUUGGCGGGGUAAAGGCCCACCAAGCCAUCGAUCAGUAACUGGUGUGAGAGCACGACCAGUCACACGGGCACUGAGACACGGGCCCG